CAGGAAAGAGACCAUUGCUUAAGGAUGUGGACUCUCCUGCUAUUUCUCCUGGGCCAAGGCUCUGUGUUCGGUGUCCUCCUCUACCAAAAGCCAAAACAGGACAUCUGUCAAAGUGGCACCUCCCUGAAAAUCCAGUGUGAGGUUGACACUCAAGUUGCUGGGAUGUUCUGGUACAGACAGUUCCAGGGACAGAGCUUGGUGCUCAUGGCAGCUGCAAAUCAAGGCUCAGAAGCCACAUAUGAGAGCGGAUUCACCAACGAGAAGUUUCCUAUCAGCCGCCCAAACCUAACAUUCUCAACUUUGACCGUGAACAAUGCAAGACCUGAAGACAGCAGCUUCUAUUUCUGCAGCUCUGGAGACACAGCGCUGGAUGCAAAUGAGAGAUCUCAGCAAGAACCCCCUCUCCCCACACCCAGAUCUCCCCAGAUGAGCCAGAGCCAAUGUACUCAGUAUGAAAACCACAGCUGCUGA
This is a non-coding RNA of Cricetulus griseus (Chinese hamster), 471 nucleotides long. The record is from the annotation of a RefSeq genome assembly. NCBI's taxonomy places the organism in Eukaryota, Metazoa, Chordata, Mammalia, Rodentia, Cricetidae.